CGGGAGGCAGCAGUGGGGAAUAUUGCACAAUGGGCGCAAGCCUGAUGCAGCCAUGCCGCGUGUGUGAAGAAGGCUUUCGGGUUGUAAAGCACUUUCAGCGAGGAGGAAAGGGUGUACUUUAAUAGAGUGCAUCUGUGGCGUUACUCGCAGAAGAAGCACCGGCUAACUCCGUGCCAGCAGCCGCGGUAAUACGGAGGGUGCGAGCGUUAAUCGGAAUUACUGGGCGUAAAGCGCGCGUAGGCGGUUAAUUAAGUCAGAUGUGAAAUCCCAGGGCUCAACCUUGGAACUGCAUUUGAAACUGGUUAACUAGAGUUUUGUAGAGGGUGGUAGAAUUUCAGGUGUAGCGGUGAAAUGCGUAGAGAUCUGAAGGAAUACCAGUGGCGAAGGCGGCCACCUGGACAAAGACUGACGCUGAGGCGCGAAGGCGUGGGGAGCAAACGGGAUUAGAUACCCCGGUAGUCCACGCAGUAAACGAUGUCUAUUAGAAUUUUGUGGCUAUAUGCUGUGGGAUUCAAAGCUAACGCAUUAAAUAGACCGCCUGGGGAGUACGGCCGCAAGGUUAAAACUCAAAUGAAUUGACGGGGGCCCGCACAAGCGGUGGAGCAUGUGGUUUAAUUCGAUGCAACGCGAAGAACCUUAC
RNAcentral lists this ribosomal RNA (640 nucleotides) under uncultured Psychromonas sp. RNAcentral describes it as "bacterial SSU rRNA". It matches the Rfam family "Bacterial small subunit ribosomal RNA", at positions 342 to 974 of the family's 1533-position model. The record is from RNAcentral. Lineage: Bacteria; Pseudomonadati; Pseudomonadota; Gammaproteobacteria; Alteromonadales; Psychromonadaceae.